GAUCCAAGCCACAUCUGUGACCUACACCAUAGCUCACAGCAAUGCUGGCUCCUUAACCCACUGAGCGAGGCCAGGGAUCAAACCUGCAUCGUCAUGGUUACUAGUCAAGUUUUAUUACCACUGAGCCACAACGGGAAAUCUGAAAGAUUUUUUUUAAAUUUUAAUAUAGUUGAUUUAUAAUGUUGUGUUUCAGGUGUACCACAAAGUGAUUCAGUUAUACAUACAUAUGUAUCUAUUUUUUUCAGGCUCUUUUCUCUUACAGGUUAUUACAAAAUAUUGAGUAGCGUUCCCUGUGCUAUAUAGUAGGUCCUUGUUCCAUGAAAAACUUUUGAAACAAGUGGCCCAGUGGCUCAUUCAGGGGUUGGUGGGAGCUGUUAGGCGUUCUGUGUGGAGUUAUAGAGGGGAGAACAAAACCCCAAAGGUAGGAAGAGUAAAACAAUUAAUGAACAGAAACCUUAAUUAAAUAGAGUCAGAAGACCAGUAGGGGCAGCUCUCACACCCUGUGAUGACAGAGCCCAGCAGGAAGAAGGAUUCCCUUUUCUUGCCUGAUGAGAGCUUUUCAGCCAAUGAGAGGCAGGAACAAUUCAGCCUGUGAAAGGCCAUGGCCUCUUUGCUUGCUAUAACCCUUCCUUUUUCCCUCUAUUAAAGAGUUUUCCUCUGCAUUUUUUUAUUUUCUUUUUUUUUUUUUAAGGGCCGCACCUGUGACCUAUGGAUGUUCCCAGGCUAGGGAUCCAAUCAGAGCUGCCGCUGCUGGCCCCUACAGCCCCAGCCCCAGCAAUGCAGGAUCAGAGCCUUGUCUUCGACCUACACCACAGCUCACGGCAACACUGGAUCCUUAACCCACUGAGCGAGGCGAGGGAUUGAACCCACGUCCUCAUGGAUACUAGUCAGCUUUGUUACUGCUGAGCCACUUCAGGAACUCCUUCCUCUGCAUUUUUGCUGGGGAUUUGCACGUGGGUUGCCAUGGUUGCAGAUCCUGAAUCGAACUUCUUUGUUGAUCCAAAAUAAAGCUUUUUAACAUUUUUUCUGGAGAAAUAACUGGUAGUCUGUUUGCUUAAGGGUGACAUUUUGGUAAACCAUACAGGAUCCAGACAAGACCGCUAAGGAGGCUGAGGCUGGUGUGUAAACAAGGGCAGGACCCACACUGAGCCCGUGAUUGUGACUGCUUUUCUCACCAUCCGUGGAGCCGGAGGGUAUGUUUUCCCUCUUGGAUCUGAGAUGUUACCCUCUUUGCAUUUUGAAGCUCUCCAGGUUUUACUUGAGAUCUGUUUUAAGGUUUUAUCCUAUCUGGUUGUUCUGAAUGUAAGUCUGGGUCUGAUUUUGAAAUCAGACUGUCUCAACUGGAUCUGUGUCGCCCUGACCCCUUCGUUUGGAGUAGGGGCUGUUCUACUGGAAUUGGGUUGAGUAGCUUUUGGCCCGACUCUCUUGGGGCCAGACUGUUCCCUUUAAACUGGCUGGUUCCAGGCUAUUUGGGCUAUUUGAACUGCAGGCUAUUUUGACGAAUUUGAGCUGUUUAGGCUGUUCAAAAAUUCUUUCACUCUAGAGAGAAACCUCUGAGAAGUGGGGUCCCAGUUAUCUAAAUAUUUUGAGGAUCUCCACCUAGUACAGGGACCCUGGCCGAUCUUAAUGUUGGAAAGCCUGUCUUUCCUCAUGUGCAUUUCUCACCAAAUGGAUUUGACCCCACCAAAGGCAGUUUAGAACAUCAGUGGCCCUUAUGGGGAACUUUUGAAAUCCCCAAACUUACUUUUCUUAAAAUCAGGUUGGACAACUGCAUCUCCAAAUUUCCCAAACUGAAUGAGAUGCCUCUUUUGAUGGGUGUUUAGAAGCUCCCGAAUGUUAUCAGGAGCUUGAAACGACCACUCUGCAAAAUAAGAUUUUAAGAUUAAGUCAGGCAAACAGAUGGUUAAAGAAAGUUACAAUGGCUUCCAAAGCCUCAGGCUCUUCUUCCUCGGCUUCUUUGUCUCAGGCUCUGCCUCUGGUGCCCUUCUCUCUCCUUAGGCUCUUCGGCCAGGCUUCACCUCCAGAACCAUCUUUCUCCUCGUCCACACUGCCUGCCCUUCCUCUACACCCCCAGUCCCCCUUCCAUACUAAUUCUCUUUCCAAACUUCUCUUUUUUUCUGAAGCUUUCUCCACUCCCUUUUCCUCUGAACUUAUCAGAACAUAUCCCUUUAAAAUUAAACCUUCUGGACUUCCUGUUGGGGCUCAGGGUGUUAAAAAUCCGACUGCUAUCCCUGAGGACGCAGGUUUGAUCCCUGGCCUUUCUCAGUGGGUUAUGGAUCCUGCGUUGCUGUGGCUGUGAUGUAGGCUGGCAGCUUCAGCUGCAGCUCUGAUUUGUCCCCUAGCCUGGCAACCUCCAUAUGCUGCAGGUAUGGCCCUAAAAAGAAAAACAAACAAACAAAAAAAUUAAGCCUUCUGAGGAUCCACGAGCUACACCCUUAAGUUCUUAUACUCCUUGGACUGGAGCUGAACUGUGAGCCAUAGUUAGAGGUUUUCCAGAGUAACCACAGGUCCUCACUGAUUUGCUGAGGGAUUCAGUGUAGCCAUUCUCACUUACCAGCCUGGUUUCUCCCAUCCAGCUGACAUGCUUGUCAGUGAAGACCAGGCCCAGCCUUGGAUGAAAACUGCUAAUUGGGAAAAUUCUGCAGGGCCUCUAGAAUUACAACUAGGAGACCGGCCCGCUGAUGUAUUGUCUAUUCAGGUCAGGCAAUUGCCAGACGACUUCAUUAGGCAAUUCCUCAGAUUUUUCCAAGUCUGGUGAACCUGUGUAUGAAUAUUAUAAUCAGCUUCAGGUUAUUUGUGAAGGAAAUUCUAGUCUUCCUUGAGAUACUGAUUUCACCUAGAUAGCUUUUAACUCUGUUUGUUAAUGGGCUGAACUGGGACCUUUCCCGUCUUGUCCAGUAGAGCAGGAUGGAAUGGAAAACUAUGUCCCGUUCCAGAUUUAGUUAAUCUGGUGAGCCAGGUCUCUGGCACUCUCUAGAUGAGUCAGUCACCUGAAAGGAAGAGAGCUAAAAUUCUUCAUCUUCAAUUCCAGCCACUGAAGGCCCCUCAAUGAAACCAAAACUCUCCCAGUUUCCACUGGUAUUGCAAACAGCCAGGACGUUGGAAAACAGACUGUUACAGAUUUUCGUGUUUCAAGUGCCUUCAUCCUUUUUUUUUUUUUUUUUUUUUUUUUUUUUUUUUUUNCCUGACCUAUGGCAUAUGGAAGUUCCCAGGCUAGGGACUGAAUCGGAGCUGUAGCCGCUGGCCUACGCUACAACCACAGCAAUGUGGGAAACAAGCCAUGUCUGUGACCUACACCACAGCUUGUGGCAACCCCUGAUCCUUAACCCACCGAGUGAGGCCGGGGAUGGAACUUGGGUCCUCAUGGAUACUAGUCGGAUUCAUUGCCUCUGAGCCACGACAGGAGCUCCACCUUCAUCCUUCUAACCAGACUUUCCAAGAUCCUCCCUCUUCUCAGUGCUGGGAAUUGGAGGAAUUACAGAGAACUUCCCAAUGCUUCAUCUUAAUUGGCUCAGAGAAACAUUUCUCCAGAUUGAGGAUGACUCUUUUCCAGUCCUAAGUGACACGGAGCCACACUUGGAGUGCUCAGCACUGCGACUAUAAAGCAGCCUCUGCCUCGGAGGGUUAAAACAAUUCAAACAGUGGGACUCUCUAAUGAACCUCAAAAGCUUUCUGCCCCUGAACCUAUUCCCUUCUAUUUAGGCCCUUGGUGAGAUCCAUCCCCUCUCCCCCUUGGUUCCUCUGUCACUGUCCAUUUUUCAGACUGAGACUUCUUAAAGAAGUAUCAUGCCAGAAUUUCUUUCUUCCAAAAGGGGGAAAUCAUUUUAGUAUUUGACAGUAGUCAUCAAAGCAACCAAUCAGGUUAAUUAAAUGACCUUUUGACGUCUUUUUAUUUGCUCCCUCUCUGACUGUACGAGGGCUGAUUCUGGAAACAAUGACCUUCUAUUGAAUCAGCCACUGCCUUUCCAUUUGGGCAAAAUCUCCAAGUGGUAUGGACAAAAUUCAUGGCACACCUCCCAUCAAAAUUCAAACAGUAUCCGUCAAAACCUCUUUCCAGAUUUAAUGAGUGUCCUCUACGUAAAGAAGCCCUUCAAGGCAUUAAAGCUCAUAGUCGAGGAUUACAAGGCUCGAGGCCUCAUUAUCCCUUAGAGGAGUCCCUCUAAUUCUCCUAUUCUAUGGGGACAAAAAUCUAAGGGCCAAGGUGGAGGCGUGUCCAGGACUCCUGAGCAAUACAUGACACUGUCAUCCUUCGCCACCCUGCUGUUCCUGACCCCCGUAUGUUACUCACAUCCAUUCCCACCAACAAUAAAUUCUUGACGCUAAUUGAUGUAUGCAGUGCAGUCUUUGGUAUUCCAGUCGAUUAGGCUAACCAAUGAUUUUUUUUUUUUUUUUGCCUUCACUUGGGAAGAAAAACAACUCACCUGGACGGUAAACCCUCAGAGAGUUUUACUGAGAUUCCUUCUUAGUUCUCAGAAAUCCUGAAGUCUGAUUUGGAUAAUAGAAAGCUCCCUAAAGGUUCUAUGUUGUUGCAGUAUGGGGCUGACUUGCCUCUUUGCUCUCCUGCUGAAGCCUCCUCACAGACGAACAGCAUCCACCUGCUAAAGCUUUUAACCGUAAAGGGAAAUAAGGUCACCGGGGAAACAUUGCAGUUUGCCAAAAGCUAGGUUUUAUAUUUAAGGCAUCUGAUGCCAGAAUAAGUGCUACGUCUAGACCCAUACAGGCUUCAUGGUGUCCUCAAUUUCCCCAAACCCAGGGGGAGGGAGCGGGAUGGACUGGAAAUUUGGGGUUCCUAGAUGCACACUAUUGCCUUUGGAAAGGAGAAGCAAUGAGAUCCUGCUGUCUAGCCCUGGGAACUACAUCUCAUCACUUAUGAUGGAGCAUGAUAAUGUGAGAAAAAAAGAAUGAUUAUAUGUUUGUGAGACUGGGUCACCUUGCUGUACAGUAGCAAAUUGACAGAACGCUGUAAACCAGCUAUAAUGGAAAAAAAUAAAAAAA
This 4995-nucleotide long non-coding RNA is filed under the name Sus scrofa (pig). RNAcentral's name for it is "lncRNA (ENSSSCG00060054214.1)". The record is from RNAcentral. Lineage: Eukaryota; Metazoa; Chordata; Mammalia; Artiodactyla; Suidae.